This 1914-nucleotide unclassified non-coding RNA is filed under the name Hevea brasiliensis (rubber tree). The record is from RNAcentral. Lineage: Eukaryota; Viridiplantae; Streptophyta; Magnoliopsida; Malpighiales; Euphorbiaceae.
GUUAGCUUUGAAGAAAGAUGGUUCAUAGAGAAUGUGUGGACAGCCGAGCCAUAAACAAGAUUACAAUCAACUAUCACUUUCCUAUUCCUUGAUUGGAAGAUAUGCUUGAUCAACUGAUGGGUUCCCAGAUGUUUUCCAAGAUUGAUUUGAAGAGUGGAUAUCACAAAAUUAGAAUGAGGUGCAGAGAUGAAUGGAAGACAACUUUUAAGACACCGAAUGGGUUAUAGGAAAGGUUAGUGACGCCAUUUGCACUUUCCAAUGCGCCAAGUACAUUCAUGAGGGUCAUGACAGAUGUACUCAAGCAUUUCUUGAAUUAUUUUGUUGUAGUGUAUUUUGAUGACAUUUUGAUCUAUAGAUGCACUAAGGAAAAGCAUUUAGAACAUUAGAGACAAGUGAUAGAAGUACUUCAAAGGGAACAGCUAUAUCUAAACUUGCAAUUUCCUGCAAUCAAAAGUGGUGUUUCUUGGGUUCAUUGUGUCGGCAAAAGGUUUAAAACUAGAUCCAGAAAAAGUUCGUGCAAUCACUAAGUGGCCAGCACCUCAAUCCACCAAGGAAGCUUGUAUCUUUCAUGGUUUGGCAUCUUUUUAUAGGAGAUUUAUUUUAAAUUUCAGUUCUAUUAUGAGUCCUAUAACAGAAUCUAUGAAAAGGGGUGGAUUUGAGUGGUCAAAAUCUGCAUAAAAAGCUUUUGAACAAGUGAAAUUUUUGAUGACUGAAGUACCAGUUCUUGCACUACCAGAUUUUGAGAUUAUUUGUCGUAAAGUGUGAUGCUUCACAUGUAGGAAUUGGAGCAGCUCCAAGCCAAGAUGGAAAGCCUCUAAAGUUUUUCAGUGAGAAGUUGUCUGAUUCCAAGUGACGUUAUUCGACUUAUGACUUAGUGUUCUACCCCUUUGUAAGAGCCAUUCAUCAUUGGCAACACUACUUAGCUUACCGUGAGUUUGUGGUUUAUUUUGACCAUCAAGCUUUGAGAUAUAGAAAAGCUUAAUGAUAAACAUGCUAAAUGGAGUUCUUUCCUUGAUGAAUUUAACUGCUCAUUGAAACAUAAGUCUGGACAAUCAAAUAUUAUAAUUGAUGCCUUAAGUAGGAAAUCUUUACUUUUGUCAGUUAUGAGCACUCAAGUCACAGGUCUUGAGGAAUUAAAGAAUCAGUAUGGUUCUGAUCCUUAUUUCGGCAAGAUAAUUGCUGAUUUGCAACCUUCCUCACAAGCUGAAAAAUUGCCCUAUAGAUUGCAUGAAGAUUAUUUGUUUAGAGGAAAUCCAUUAUGCAUUCCAGAAGGGUCUUUAAGGGAGCAAAUUAUUAGAGAACUUCACGAAAAUGUUUUGGGAGGACAUUUUGGCAGGGACAACUUUCAAAAUGAUCACCGACCAUUACUAUUGGCCAAAGUUGCAAAGUGAUGUGGAGAAACUAGUGAAGAGAUGUCCAACUUGUUUCUUUGGCAAAGGAGGUACUCAAAAUACAGGUUUGUAUACUCCUUUACUUGAACCAGAUGAACUGUGGAUUUAUUUGAGUAUGGAUUUUGUUUUGGGACUUCCAAAUACAGUAAAAGGAGAUUUGAUUCUAUCUUUGUUGUGGUAGAUCAUUUCUCAAAAAUGACACACUUUAUCCCAUGUUCUAAAACCUCCAAUUAGGGGUAGCCACGGUCCGAUUUCAAACAGGAACUAGUUCGGUCAAAACUGGAACCGGCUUCGAACCGGAUUUGGUUCAAGUUCAUAUUUUUCAGAAAUCGUGAACUGGCGGUUCCGAACCGAAUUGAACUGACGGUUCCAAAUCAGACCAAACCAGUGAUUUAAAUACAAAAGAAUUCAAUAAAUAUCUCACCCCAUUCCUAAUUCAUUUAUAUAAAUCUUAAAUUCUCUACACUCUCUUUAAUUCUUAAUACUUUUUCAAUUUCUAUCAAAUUCUCUAAAUAAUUAUUUU